CUAUGCCCGAGACAACCUUCAGGAUCGUAAACGUGCAACAGCUUUAUACCAGAAUGAUUUCUGGACUGAACCAGCUGCUGGGAUGUAGAGUCUUCUGGACAGCCAGGAACCUUCGUGCCUCCUUCAGUCCUGGCCUCCCAAGCUGCUCCUCAGAGCUGACCACAAAGGAUUACGAAUCAUUCCAUUCAUAUCCAGCACCUCUGCCAGCGAGGGAUGUAAGACAACGCUUAAGGCUGUCAACACAAUGGUUAUCUUUGAAAACUGUGGUGUGUGUUUGUGGAGAUCGCCUAUUUGGUACACAAGAGGAUGAAUCUUCCCAGACCAGAGAGAGCACCAGGCCUCCUAGGCAUUGCCAUUAGCAAAGGGAUGCUGGUGCCAGGCUGAGGAAAGGACCAGGAACAAGGUUCUCCACACAUCCUCCAUCCGUGCGUUCCAGGGCUCGUGGGUUUGCUUCAGCCAAAACCUCGAACGAGCCACAUCCUUGUGUUCUUGACUGUGAUGAGGUCUUUUAUUGCAUUUAUAAAUGUUCCCCCUGGGGCUAUUACUCAAAAGGGUUCAUCUAAUGAAUAAGACAACUAACAAUUAUUCUGUUUCAGAUUGCGAGCUAUGUGUAACUUCUCCGAAGGGUCAAACGUGUUAUGUUUGCUCAACAUUGCCCCAGCCUUCUGACACUUGUGAUUACAGAACAGGAGUGCAGGUGAAGUCAGGACACAGAGAGCGCUGCAUACACAGGCCCCCUCUCAUGGAGGAGGACUGCUUUCUGAAAGCAGGGGCGGCUAAGCAUGUUUCAUCAUACAUGGGUGCCCCGGAACCCAGUUACUUUAAGCUCAGGUCUCUCUCUCUCUCUCUCUCUCUCUCUUUUUAAAAUGAAUUUGGUCUCUUUUUUUUAAAAAAGGAACUCUUUCUUUAAGGGUUCUGGACUUUGGGCUGUAUCCUAGGAAUGAAAAGGAUCCUGGGAACCACUUUCUAAAAACAAAAAACAAAAAACAAAACAAACAAACAAACAAAAAACAAAACAAAAAACAAAAAACCCAAAAAACCAAAAAACAAAAAAAAAAAAAACCCAAAAAGCAAAAAACAAACAAAACCCAAAAUCUCUCUUCAGACAGUGCUUCUUCCUAUUUGGCCUGUUCUCUCUGUUCCUGUCCUCCUUUUCUCUGCCCACAUGCCACUGAAGAGUAUAUGCCCCAUUUGGGGCCCAUAUUCCCUUAAGGAAGAGUAAUAGGUACUAACUACACACACAGCUUUGCCCAAGUUGAGGACGCCUAUGAAGAGCCGGGUCUGAGUUUAGGAGUACAGGAGACUUUCCCUUUCUUCCAGGUAGACCCCCCCCCCAAAAGUUACAGUUAACUGGAUCCCACAAAAGAAAGGUUAUCUCCUUUAAUUUAGCUGUUGGUAAGUAAGAAACUUAACUAUUAUCAUCCCCAUAUGAGCACAUCUUCAAGUCGGGGUGAUUGAGGUGUAAUUCGCACCCCCACUUGUAGGUAUGGGACUUAAUGUCAGCAGUGUAUAUAGUAACAGAACAACUGUCACAGUCAGCAUGGAGAUCCGUUCCACCCCCCAGGAAUUCUCUCCUCCCAGCCCCUGGCAAUUGUCCAUCUGAUUUGACCAUUUAUAAAGGUAUCAAGGACAUGAAGUGCCCAAGUGUCACUCUUCAAAGCCCUGGAGAUACCUCUGAGUCUCUGAGUACCCUGAACAGAACUCCCAGGUGCCCACAGUGCUCUGGCCCGGUGCAGAGCUGCCAUGCUGUAGAAUUUUCACUCGUGCUUUAUCCACUCCUGGCUUCUGGGACCUGCCGUCCUCCAGUUGGGGCACUGAAAUGUCCGAGAAGACCAUUGGGAUAAGGAUGUUUUUCUAAGAAGAUAAAAGCCCCUUCACCCCGCCCCCCCAAGCAUUCUGGUUGCUUGGCAGUGUGCCAGUAAUGCCAGAGGAUCAGAUUUCGACCCAGGAGCAAGAGCAGCCCUGAUAAAGGACAAAGUAUUUUCCACUACAUGGGAGAAACACUUUAAGACCACUUACGUUUGAUGUUUGAGUCUUGCUGGUCACUCCUUGAUAUCCUGGGGACAUCCAGCUUUGGAAACAAUGGUCAAAUGUCCACUCCUGGAAGGGAAAACCAUGAUUCCAGGACUAGAAGAUGCCAGAGGGAGUUUGGGCUUCCCCAGAAAUAUAGCAGUUCCCCCACAGAGCAGUUCUCUCUGUAAGGACAAUUGUGUAGUCCUCUUUAAUCAUUCAUUCCUGGGUCUAAGAAAUUUACCUGGAAUAUAUUUUCCUAAGUCUCAAUAUGAGUUACUAUUUGGGCUGGUUUUAGGGCUCUUCUCUAGUUUCAGGAUUUAUCUUCCUUAAGGUUUCUCACAUUUAAUGACUACUUUAUUUUCUGGUUGCAUCUAUACAGACAUGUGGGCAUAUGUAUUUCUGUCUUCAGGCUCCUGAGUGCCCACUGUAAUCUUAAAUUGUAUCAUCUCUCUAGUCCUGAGAAUCGUCUCUUAAAUAAACAAAUGAAGGACGGACUUGAUCUCUCA
Long non-coding RNA from Mus spicilegus (steppe mouse), 2519 nucleotides. Lineage: Eukaryota; Metazoa; Chordata; Mammalia; Rodentia; Muridae. The record is from Ensembl.